RNAcentral lists this long non-coding RNA (1179 nucleotides) under Pan troglodytes (chimpanzee). Its description in RNAcentral is "long non-coding RNA NONPTRT017487". The record is from RNAcentral. Lineage: Eukaryota; Metazoa; Chordata; Mammalia; Primates; Hominidae.
AAUUUAAUUCCACACAAAUUCUGCAAUGGCCCCAGAACACAAGGAAUGUCAAAUAGGAUGGUAUAGUCGCUUUGCUAGGCAUCCAUACUGUGGAAAAGCUGGAGCAAACUCUGGAGUUAUGUUGACAACGUGACUUGAAUGAGAAGGAAGUAUUUCAAGAAUAAUAUGACAACUGUGUGACUACAAUGAGAAGAUAUGACAUGGCUUAAAAUAUACAAGUUAAACAUUACAUGGGCGAUCAAGAUCUGUUGGAUAUCCUGUUUUUUCAUAAUCCAGAAAGCCUUUUUGUCUUUCCGUGUCAAUGGAAGUGUCGUCCAGAUCAUUGUCUAUAUGGAAGCAGUUGCCAAGAAGCAGAAGAAGGAAUCUUUAUUUUUCACGGGAACAGAGGUGUUUACCAUGAUGAUAAGCAACCAGCAUUUAGAGCUGUUUAUGAAGCACUGAGAAAUUGUUCUUUUAAGAUGACAAUGUUUAUUCAUUAAUAAAACCUUUAGAAUUGGAACUACAAAAAACAGUGCAUACAUACCAUGGAAAAAUUUACUAAAUAUUUAUCAAACAAUUAGCAAAAUCAUAAGAGAUCGCUAUGUCAGAUCACCAAAGGAAAGGUGAUUCUUGUUGCCUGCUACAUCAAAUGGAUGAAAAGAACAAAGCAUCGGAGGAUAAGUAUGAAGGAACUGUCUUGGGUGAAGCGUUAAGGCAGGAAUUAUUCAUCUACAGAAUUUUUUUUUUCCUAAAGAGGUUAAAUGAGCAGUAUUUUCAGGUAAUGAAGAAUAAGUUAAAAUCUUGGGCUUCAACAAAGAAAAAUUUUUGGCCUCUGAUGUUGUGUAAUGUUACUUACUAUCAUUCCAGUAUUGAUGAAAAUAUUAUUGAAUGGUUUUAGCCUGCAAACUUCUGUUGACUCAUACUCUCAAGAGUGGUGGGGCUGUGAAAAUGAAGAAAAUGUACCUCAGACACAGUGCAAACACUCAGGCAAAAGGCUUUUACAUCAAAUAUUGAUAAUGAUAAUAAUAAUGAACACAUGUUGAGCACUUACCAUGUCUCAAGCACUGCUCUAGAGCUUCCCAUGAAAGAACCCCUCUAAUCUUCAGAACAACCCUGUGAGGAGCUGCUGUUAAAUGAACACCUUGAUAUCUUCGUUCUUGGAGAGAAAUGAGCCAAGGAGGAAGACCAUCUAAAAAAAAC